Molecule: ribosomal RNA, 1471 nt
Filed under: uncultured archaeon
Lineage: Archaea
Description: bacterial SSU rRNA
Rfam family: Archaeal small subunit ribosomal RNA
Source: RNAcentral
CCGGUUGAUCCUGCCGGACCUCACUGCUAUCGGGGUGAGACUAAGCCAUGCGAGUCGAGCGUCUCCAGACCACGUUGGAGAAGCGGCGUACGGCUCAGUAAAAUAUGGCUAACCUACCCUCGAGACAGGGACAACCCCGGGAAACUGGGGCUGACCCCUGAUAGGAGAGAGAACCUGGAAUGGUUCCUCUCCCAAACAGAUUAGGGAACAUGUCUCCCUAAGCCGCUCGAGGAUGGGGCUAUAUCCGAUCAGGCUGUUGGUGAGGUAACGGCUCACCAAACCUUUGACCGGUACGGGCCGUGAGAGCGGUAGCCCGGAGAUGGAUCCUGAGACAAGGAUCCAGGCCCUACGGGGCGCAGCAGGCGCGAAACCUCCGCAAUGCGCGAAAGCGUGACGGGGUCACCCCGAGUGUCACCUGCUAAAGGUGACUUUUCACCGGUGUAAAUAGCCGGUGGAAUAAGGGGAGGGCAAGACUGGUGUCAGCCGCCGCGGUAAUACCAGCUCCCCGGGUGGUGAGGACGAUUAUUGGGCCUAAAGCGUCCGUAGCUGGCUCCUUAAGUUUACUGUCAAAUUCGACGAUCCAAUCGCCGAACCGCGGUAAAGACUGAGGAGCUAGGAGGCGGGAGAGGCCGACGGUACUCGCGGGGUAGGGGUGAAAUCCUUUGAUCCCCGGGAGGACCACCAGUGGCGAAGGCGGCCGGCCAGAACGCGCUCGACGGUGAGGGACGAAAGCUGGGGGAGCGAACCGGAUUAGAUACCCGGGUAGUCCCAGCUGUAAACGAUGUGGGCUAAGUGUCAGGAUGGCUUUAGGGCUAUUCUGGUGCUGCGGUGAAGACGUUAAGCCCACCGCCUGGGGAGUACGGCCGCAAGGCUGAAACUUAAAGGAAUUGGCGGGGGAGCACCACAAGGGGUGAAGCUUGCGGUUUAAUUGGAGUCAACGCCGGGAACCUUACCGGGGGUGACAGCAGAAUGAAGGCCAGAUUGAAGGUCUUGCCAGACCAGCUGAGAGGAGGUGCAUGGCCGUCGCCAGUUCGUGCCGUGAGGUAUCCCGUUAAGUCGGGCAACGAUCGAGACCCACACCCUUAAUUGCCAACGGAUCCUCCGGGAUGCCGGGCACCUUAAGGGGACCGCCGUCGAUAAGACGGAGGAAGGAGUGGGCCACGGCAGGUCAGUAUGCCCCGAAUCCCCCGGGCCACACGCGAGCUGCAAUGGUAGGGACAAUGGGCUCCGACCUCGAAAGAGGGAGGUAAUCCCGAAGCCCUACCCCAGUUGGGAUCGAGGGCUGAAACCCGUCCUCGUGAACAUGGAAUCCCUAGUAAUCGCGUGUCAUCAGCGCACGGUGAAUACGUCCCUGCUCCUUGCACACACCGCCCGUCGCUCCAACCGAGUCGGGCUUGGGUGAGGCGUGGUCCUGUUGGCCACGUCGAACUUAAGUUCAGCGAGGGGGGAGAAGUCGUAACAAGGUAACCGU